RNAcentral lists this ribosomal RNA (492 nucleotides) under uncultured bacterium. RNAcentral's name for it is "partial 16S ribosomal RNA". It matches the Rfam family "Bacterial small subunit ribosomal RNA", at positions 29 to 507 of the family's 1533-position model. The record is from RNAcentral.
AGUGAACGCUGGCGGUAGGCCUAACACAUGCAAGUCGAACGGCAGCACAGUAAGAGCUUGCUCUUACGGGUGGCGAGUGGCGGGCGGGUGAGGAAUACAUCGGAAUCUACUUUUUCGUGGGGGAUAACGUAGGGAAACUUACGCUAAUACCGCAUACGACCUACGGGUGAAAGCAGGGGAUCUUCGGACCUUUCGCGAUUGAAUGAGCCGAUGUCGGAUUAGCUAGUUGGCGGGGUAAAGGCCCACCAAGGCGACGAUCCGUAGCUUGCCUGAGAGGAUGAUCAGCCACACUGGAACUGAGACACGGUCCAGACUCCUACGGGAGGCAGCAGUGGGGAAUAUUGGACAAUAGGCGCAAGCAUGAUCCAGCCAUACCGCGUGGGUGAAGAAGGCCUUCGGGUUGUAAAGCCCUUUUGUUGGGAAAGAAAAGCAGCAGGUUAAUACCCCGCUGUUCUGACGGUACCCAAAGAAUAAGCACCGGCUAACUUCGUG